RNAcentral lists this non-coding RNA (45 nucleotides) under Schistosoma mattheei. Lineage: Eukaryota; Metazoa; Platyhelminthes; Trematoda; Strigeidida; Schistosomatidae. The record is from RNAcentral.
ACUUGGCUACUGAGUCGCAAAUAGGACGAAACGCGCGUCCUGGAU